RNAcentral lists this ribosomal RNA (422 nucleotides) under uncultured Mucilaginibacter sp. RNAcentral's name for it is "bacterial SSU rRNA". It matches the Rfam family "Bacterial small subunit ribosomal RNA", at positions 355 to 774 of the family's 1533-position model. Lineage: Bacteria; Pseudomonadati; Bacteroidota; Sphingobacteriia; Sphingobacteriales; Sphingobacteriaceae. The record is from RNAcentral.
UAAGGAAUAUUGGUCAAUGGACGGAAGUCUGAACCAGCCAUGCCGCGUGCAGGAAGACGGCCCUAUGGGUUGUAAACUGCUUUUGCAGGGGAAUAAACCUCGGUACGUGUACCGAGUUGAAUGUACCUUGAGAAUAAGGAUCGGCUAACUCCGUGCCAGCAGCCGCGGUAAUACGGAGGAUCCGAGCGUUAUCCGGAUUUAUUGGGUUUAAAGGGUGCGUAGGCGGCCUGUUAAGUCAGGGGUGAAAGACGGUAGCUCAACUAUCGCAGUGCCCUUGAUACUGAUGGGCUUGAAUAUACUAGAGGUAGGCGGAAUGUGACAAGUAGCGGUGAAAUGCAUAGAUAUGUCACAGAACACCAAUUGCGAAGGCAGCUUACUAUGGUAUGAUUGACGCUGAGGCACGAAAGCGUGGGGAUCAAACA